UCCAGGAAGUAGCCGAAAAAUUGUUUAUGGAAAAAUGGUGUUACGUCUAUGGUCUUAAAACUUGUUAGUCUCAAGACGUUGACUGAGCACUUAUUUCAAAUUACAUAACAUAAGUGUUUAACAUUGACAGUGCAAAGGACAUGUACGAUAAGUCGCCUUUAACGCUCAGCUAGCCUCCAUCGUCGAGGUUUUGGCGAAUGCAGCCGUUGCCGAAAUCUGCAAACUUGUAGAUGACGGACAUGCUGCCUUACGUUUGGAAAUUUCCCAUAGCCAGAGUGAAAUCGAUAACCUGCGGAGGAAGUUGCUGCUGACAAAAUUCCAGCAUUCUCGACGGAGCGCAGAGAAAUUCGGAACCCUCCGACACACUGUCAGCAGACGGGACACAGAUCUUGUUGCCGGGCAAGAGGGAGCUUCCAAGGAAAGUCAACAGGCAGACUUGGAUAUUUGGAGAAUCGCUGUGCCGACCGUAAAGGGUCAAUUUUACGCAGGAUGCCACCAACUGGAGAGACGCAGGACGCACAGCGACAGAUAAGGAUGGGGACAUGCGAUGGCAGAUAUGCAAGAGAUGCCUCUUAUCAAAAUGGAGAACCUUGACACCAGCAGCCCGGAAGGUAUUUUUGUUCAACUUAUCAAGU
Molecule: non-coding RNA, 635 nt
Organism: Salvelinus sp. IW2-2015
Lineage: Eukaryota; Metazoa; Chordata; Actinopteri; Salmoniformes; Salmonidae
Source: RefSeq, a predicted model, not a curated record